AAAUUACUGAUAGUUCGUAUCCAGUCGUCCUGGUGUAGUGGUUGUGUCGUGGCUUGAUAUGCUGAAGGUCUUGAGUUCGAAUCCCAGCAUUUACACUGGAUUUUUUCUACGUGAAUUUUGAUAGAUAGUCAUUUCCGUAUGAUUGUAUAUUUAAUUAUAAGUUUUAUAGUGGAUUUGACAUUCCCGCCAAAAUGUUACAGAACAAAGGAAAGCAUGCAUAACAAAGAAACUCAAACUGGGGUGAUCUGGUAGGGGUGAUCCGGCUCAGAUCACCCCUGUUAGAACAAAGGAGCUG
This 295-nucleotide long non-coding RNA is filed under the name Mytilus galloprovincialis (Mediterranean mussel). The record is from RNAcentral. Lineage: Eukaryota; Metazoa; Mollusca; Bivalvia; Mytilida; Mytilidae.